Molecule: long non-coding RNA, 2412 nt
Organism: Austrofundulus limnaeus
Lineage: Eukaryota; Metazoa; Chordata; Actinopteri; Cyprinodontiformes; Rivulidae
Exons: 2
Source: RefSeq, a predicted model, not a curated record
AACCAGCACAGUAAGUCUCAUCUUUAAUAAAAAUCCAGACUUAGCAGUGCUAUAGCACAAAAUAGCAGUAAGAGUCAACAUGAAGGAGAGAGGAGAGGAGAGGAGCACACACAGGAACAGACUGAAGGCUGCUCCUUCAGGAAGCUUCUCACUGUGACCACAUGGUUCGGAUUUGUCUCGUCCAGUUGCAGCAAAGAACUAAAACCAGGUUCAGACUUGCAGCGACCGUCUGUUCAUGUCAYGAGAAGAAACCCUGAUAGAAGUCACAAAGAAGGAAGCAGCAGCAAACAACCGGAACAUAUUUUAGAAGCUUUGCUUCACGGUUUCCUCCCCAGCCCUCCAAGAGAGUCUAACUCAUCACUCUUCAUCUUUGAACAAAUCAAAAACACACAUAACUCAUCAGAAACACGUCAUGAACUUAUUAGACAGCACGAGAACAUGAAAAAAACAACAACAUUAAAACAUUACACAUCAGCUCAUCCAGAAGAGGUGACUCACCUAAUACACAAUAAAUAAGAAAUGUUUCCUGACUAAAACGUUUUCUUCUUUUGUUAUUUUCUCUAAUAUUCUUUUCAGCAAGCAGAUAUACAUCAAAUACAUUUAACACAAAUCUUAACAAAAAGACUUUUCAAAAUGACAAAAUGACCUGGUUGCAUGCGCAAAACCAUGUAAACAUUUUCUGCUGAAAUGGACUAACUAAUGCUUUUAUUUUAAAAAAUCUAGCUCUUCUCUGGUUUACAAGGUCCUCACACACACACACACACACACACACACACACACACGGGUUAGGGUUGAACUUGCCGCCGGUUGCCGUUUACGCAGCGCAGGAGCGACACAUGAGAUAAUGCCACAGUGACAGGAAGGUUGUCAGGGCCUCCUCAUAUUUUAACUUCAAAUACAUCAUAAACUUAAAAAUAACUACAUUAGAUAAAACAACAACAAAAACAAAUAACAUCUAAUUCAUCAUCAGUAAAUAAAGGGAAAGUCCGUGUUGUUUUUCUGCCCAGAUCGCACUCGGAGGGAGAGCCCUUGUGCGCGCUGUACGUCCUGAAAUGAGAGAAUUGCGCCUUGCAUAGGAGAUAAUACUAAAUAUAUUGUAUGUACAAAAAUAGAGAUGAAUCUUCUUUUUAAACUCAGCCCUGCAAAGCGCGGUAUACGGCUGAGUUUCUGUGCGCGCGCAGAGGCUCGGGUGAGUUGAUCUGACAGAAGCAGCGGCCAUGAUUCGUGUUGACGGAUCUGAACUAGAGGUGUUUGUUUUGGAGCAUGCAGAACCAGGUUAUAUAUGAAGCCUAAAUUGAUUUGCCUCGUGGCCUGGCGCGCAACACACACUGAACAAUGACAGGCGUUUGAUGGAUUUGCUUUAUUAGCACAAAUCUACUUAAGCCCCGUUUAAGUAGCAGAUUUAUACAGUCAUGUGUUGCCCUGUAAAAGCUGAGCACAUGAUGGGUUACCACCCUGUAAAACACACCRAGACGUGGGAGUUUAAUGCUUUCUAAUUAAAUCCUCAAUCAAUGUGAGAAAUGACUAAAACCAACAACCCCCUGCAUUUUUAUAUGUAUAUAUAUUUAAAAAAAAUCUACAUUUGUGUCGCAUUACAGUAGGCUAAGAUCUCAGAGCUGAUACUAAAACACCAUAGCUCCUAAAUAGCGAUUUAGGUAUGUGAAAACUUUCCAACUGCGGUCUGAAUUUUGAAUGUUAGAAACAGCAGCGUUUUGAGCAUCUGUAUUUUUAAAUUAUUUUUAAUCAGCGCUUGUUUCUUGUAGAACUGUAUUAAUUCCAUGCACAUUAUGUGUUGCCCACAUCACACAUCAUAAAGUACACUUUUAAAAUGAAKAUAUGUAGAUUUGGACCAUUAACAUGUGCUCUAACUAGAGAGAAGACCAGAAGCUGGAAGUUGAAGCCACCAUGAAAGAGCACCCCUAGUGGUCAGCUGCAGUACAAGUUUAAAUCUCAUACCUCUGUGUAAACAAAUGGUAGGCCACGUUUGUCUGAGUGAGAAAAUAAAAAUACAAUUCAGAUAUCUGUUAUUAUUAAUAUUAUUUUUGACACCUUACAGCAUAAUUUUUAAAUAUGCGUAUUCAGUCCUUUUAUUUUAAAUUAGUAGUUUGAGGCUCUAAGAAAAUGUUACAAUGUGCACCCUCCCAACUCACAACAGCCUGUUGGCAAUUUGGAAGAGUGAGUUGGCAGAAUUUCUGCAUUAUUAGUAAAGACCUACAUUCUGAGUGAGUAAAAAUACAGAAAUUUACAAUUUGCCUUCAACUUUGAAUGACAGGAAAAACUAAAGACGCUGCAUCUCUCUCRAUCCUUUAAACCAGAUUUGUGAAAGAUUAUUAUUUAUGAUCAGUUUGGUUUUUAGACCUGGACAUGCUUUCUGGGUGUGCAGUUAAAAAAAAAAUAAUAAUAAUAAAAAAU